GAGUUUGAUCAUGGCUCAGAUUGAACGCUGGCGGCAGGCCUAACACAUGCAAGUCGAGCGGUAGAGAGAAGCUUGCUUCUCUUGAGAGCGGCGGACGGGUGAGUAAUGCCUAGGAAUCUGCCUGGUAGUGGGGGAUAACGCUCGGAAACGGACGCUAAUACCGCAUACGUCCUACGGGAGAAAGCAGGGGACCUUCGGGCCUUGCGCUAUCAGAUGAGCCUAGGUCGGAUUAGCUAGUUGGUGAGGUAAUGGCUCACCAAGGCGACGAUCCGUAACUGGUCUGAGAGGAUGAUCAGUCACACUGGAACUGAGACACGGUCCGGACUCCUACGGGAGGCAGCAGUGGGGAAUAUUGGACAAUGGGCGAAAGCCUGAUCCAGCCAUGCCGCGUGUGUGAAGAAGGUCUUCGGAUUGUAAAGCACUUUAAGUUGGGAGGAAGGGCAGUAAAUUAAUAACUUUGCUGUUUUGACGUUACCGACAGAAUAAGCACCGGCUAACUCUGUGCCAGCCGCCG
This 514-nucleotide ribosomal RNA is filed under the name uncultured bacterium. RNAcentral describes it as "bacterial SSU rRNA". It matches the Rfam family "Bacterial small subunit ribosomal RNA", at positions 9 to 517 of the family's 1533-position model. The record is from RNAcentral.